RNAcentral lists this transfer-messenger RNA (407 nucleotides) under Bacteroidota bacterium. RNAcentral describes it as "Bacteroidetes bacterium (freshwater metagenome) transfer-messenger RNA". It matches the Rfam family "transfer-messenger RNA". Rfam says of the family: Bacterial tmRNA, also known as 10Sa RNA or SsrA, is named for its dual tRNA and mRNA-like properties. Its role is to liberate the mRNA from a stalled ribosome. Lineage: Bacteria; Pseudomonadati; Bacteroidota. The record is from RNAcentral.
GGGGCUGACCGGAUUCGACAGCUUGCCAUGAUGACACUGUAAGCAUGCCGAGCCUUGGGUAGGAUCUCGUUAAUCAGAAUGCCCACGCCUUAAUCGGCAACCAAUCUUACGCACUUGCUGCCUAACCCCUGAGGUUAGGUAACCAAGGUUCAGCCUACUCCUAGGGGGUACUGCUGAGGCGCUUCUACCACUGGGUGUUUGCUGGCGGUGGUUUUCUGAAGCGUGCCACGCACCAGUAAAAUAGCAGCGGGCUUUCGGCGGUCCCAAAGCGACAUCUUUACGCUGAUACGGGCAGUUCCGGCAAGUCACCGGCCUCGACUACCCCGACAAUCAACGGUCGACUAAGCAUGUAGAAAGCUGUGGAUCAGCUUGACUGGACCAGGGUUCGACUCCCUGCAGCUCCACCG